GUAGUCAUAUGCUUGUCUCAAAGAUUAAGCCAUGCAUGUCUAAGUAUAAGCAAUUAUACCGCGAAACUGCGAAUGGCUCAUUAUAUAAGUUAUCGUUUAUUUGAUAAUACUUUACUACUUGGAUAACCGUGGUAAUUCUAGAGCUAAUACAUGCUAAAAAUCCCGACUUCGGAAGGGUUGUAUUUAUUAGAUUAAAAACCAAUGCCCCUCGGGGCUCUCUGGUGAAUCAUGAUAACUAGUCGAAUCGACAGGCCUUGUGCCGGCGAUGGCUCAUUCAAAUUUCUUCCCUAUCAACUUUCGAUGUUUGGGUAUUGUCCAAACAUGGUGGCAACGGGUAACGGAGGGUUAGGGCUCGACCCCGGAGAAGGAGCCUGAGAAACGGCUACUACAUCCAAGGAAGGCAGCAGGCGCGCAAAUUACCCAAUCCCGACACGGGGAGGUAGUGACAAUAAAUACUGAUACAGGGCUCUUUUGGGUCUUGUAAUCGGAAUGAGUACAAUUUAAAUCCCUUAAUGAGGAA
This 520-nucleotide ribosomal RNA is filed under the name uncultured fungus. Its description in RNAcentral is "SSU rRNA". It matches the Rfam family "Eukaryotic small subunit ribosomal RNA", at positions 20 to 544 of the family's 1831-position model. The record is from RNAcentral. Lineage: Eukaryota; Fungi.